Non-coding RNA from Paramuricea clavata, 861 nucleotides. The record is from the annotation of a GenBank genome assembly. Lineage: Eukaryota; Metazoa; Cnidaria; Anthozoa; Malacalcyonacea; Plexauridae.
UAGGAUGUUUUUUAAGCAAAUUUAUAUAUAACAAUAUAUAAAUUCAAGUUAAUAAGACAACACGUUUGUCACCUUCAAACCUGGUUAUAAUCUCAUAGUAACAGGAUAAGCUUGUCAACAGACAUAAAAAGGCAAUAUCCAAUAGUCCAAAGUUCAAAUGUUUCUCUGGGCAUGUGUAAAACCGAAUAAAAGAUCAACUGACCAAUCAUAUAUCAACAACGAACACGCAGAACAAAGGUCAAUGUGAUAAGGGAGUUCACUUUGACAAAUAUCCCAACAAAGAGCAAUGUCUUGUUACCGAGAAAGAAAAUUUCCACCCACCCGUUCAUGUUCCUGGUAUCUGGUGCAUUGUAUGGGUACUAACUAAUGUUAUGCAAGGACUGUUCAAGAACAAUUUGUCAAGAAAGACUAUCGAACAAUUUUCUAAUGGAAAAUUAUCGCUAUGUAAAUACUUAAAUGUUCAAAGAAAUAAAUUUUGGUUCGGGGUUGAAGUGUUCCCAAUGGUCAACUUCAGGCCCAUAGACUCAGGUUAUUUAUGUAAAUAUAAUCAGUCGAAUCGUAGGUACUGUCCAAGGGGAUUAUCACCCCUUGGUUCAGGUCUAUGUCAGAGGGGGUCGCUACCCUUCGGGCAGAGCUCCUAUGGAGCAUUCAGUCUCUCCUAGCAGGUCUUAUAUAUACGCCUGCGGGAUGAAAACAUAAGGCUUAAUGAGUCUUUGGGUUGACCAGAGUUUGAGAGUAUAAUGUAUAUAAUUGGUUCACUUCACCCUGAACCCAUUCUCCCACAAUGAUUUGGUGUGUGUUUUACUUAUUUUCGGGCUGUUCUUUCACCUAACGUGCUUGAAUUAUUAUUUAGAUUAUAGA